CUUAGAGCCCUGGCGAUGAACAGCAGUUGAGACGUUGAGAGCUGGAGAGGCGCAGCUCGCGCAGGGCUGAGCGCGCGUGAGGCGGCCCAGGAAGGCUGCGGAGAGGAAAAGCGCACAGACGAAGCGGGAGGUGAUUGGAGCUGUGACCACGGAAGGAAAGACAGAAUUUUCAUUUCUUAGCGAGACUCUCGAUGUUAUCCGUUGCCUUCUGAAGGAAUCACUAGUUACUGUGGAA
Molecule: long non-coding RNA, 235 nt
Filed under: Homo sapiens (human)
Lineage: Eukaryota; Metazoa; Chordata; Mammalia; Primates; Hominidae
Description: HSALNT0135754
Source: RNAcentral